AUACUUACCUGGAUGGGGUCAAUGGGUGAUCAAGAAGGCCCAUGGCCUAGGGAAGUGACCUCCAUUGCACUUAGGAGGGGUGCUUUUCUAAGGUCUACCCAAGUGGUGGAGCCUACAUCAUAAUUUGUGGCAGUGGGGGCCUGCGUUCGCGCGGCCCCUUC
Small nuclear RNA from Lupinus angustifolius (narrow-leaved blue lupine), 161 nucleotides. It matches the Rfam family "U1 spliceosomal RNA". From Rfam's summary of the family: U1 is a small nuclear RNA (snRNA) component of the spliceosome (involved in pre-mRNA splicing). The record is from Rfam. NCBI's taxonomy places the organism in Eukaryota, Viridiplantae, Streptophyta, Magnoliopsida, Fabales, Fabaceae.